This 354-nucleotide unclassified non-coding RNA is filed under the name soil metagenome. Its description in RNAcentral is "partial contains 5.8S ribosomal RNA, internal transcribed spacer 2, and large subunit ribosomal RNA". The stretch from base 1 to 120 matches the Rfam family "5.8S ribosomal RNA", at positions 35 to 154 of the family's 154-position model. The record is from RNAcentral.
GAUGAAGAACGCAGCGAAACGCGAUAUGUAAUGUGAAUUGCAGAAUUCAGUGAAUCAUCGAAUCUUUGAACGCACAUGGCGCCUUCCAGUAUCCUGGGAGGCAUGCCUGUCCGAGCGUCGUUUCAGCCCUCGAGCCCCCGUGGCCCGGCGUUGGGGAUCUGCCCAGGCAGUCCCCGAAAACCAGUGGCGGACCCGUUACAGGCCCUUCCCUUGCGUAGUAGCAUUCGCCUCGCAUCGGGAGCCGGCGGGCUUCCAGCCUCUAAACCCCCAUCAAGUCCGCCCCGGCGGCACCAAGGUUGACCUCGGAUCAGGUAGGAAUACCCGCUGAACUUAAGCAUAUCAAUAAGCGGAGGA